RNAcentral lists this long non-coding RNA (3454 nucleotides) under Sarcophilus harrisii (Tasmanian devil). Its description in RNAcentral is "lncRNA (ENSSHAG00000028128.1)". The record is from RNAcentral. Lineage: Eukaryota; Metazoa; Chordata; Mammalia; Dasyuromorphia; Dasyuridae.
CCUUUUAAAAUUGAUGUUUAUUUAAUUUAAUUUCUCCUUGGUCACCUUUGAAAUACUUUUAGCAGGGAUCUGAUUAAUGUCCAAUAUGUCCUUGCCCCCUCUUCUCUAUUGCUCUUGCUCUUCAUGGCUAUUUACCCUGCAAAUGGCUGUUGACUUCUAGAUGUGGCCCUCAAUGCCUGGAAAUAAUUAAGUAUAAAUUGAAGCCAUUUUGCCCUUGCAGGUAUAGUGAGUAUAGAGCCUGAGUGGGAAGGAGUUAGAAACUGGUGAAUAAUAUAAAGGCCUGGACAAACCACAAUGGGUGGCUUGAAGAUUAAAAAAGAAGAAAAGUGUUGAGCGCAGUACUUGAAGGACAAAUUUUCACACCCAUCUCCUCUUCAGAGCCAGGCAGAUGUUUUGGUAUGGUUAGCAAUUUUGCCUCAUAAGAAUAAUUUGUUCCCUGAAUAUGGGAACUACUAUUUAGGAUACAGGAGGCACAAAUUAAGCAGACCAUAUAAUCAUGUGCAGUAUGUUUAUCAGGUGGUAGAGCAGAGGUUUACCUCAUUCUUAGCAGGAGAAUCUGCAUAGAGAUGUCAUCAUCAAUUUUCUCCUGAUUGUUGAUAGAUGGCAUGAACAGUUGUAGCAGAGACUGACUCUCUUUCAGUGAUGUAUGUUUUGAUGUAAUUUAAAUGCCAUCGAGUUUGUAUAAUUUUAUCUGGAUCUAAUGUUAGAGCUCAGAUUGAUUGUCAGAUCUCCUUUUAUGCUCAGAAUUAAUUUUAUGCUCAGGCUGACAGCUGGGACUUGAUGAAAGUGUUAUACUUACUAUACUCUGGUCUUGGUAGAACUGUUUCCUGAUCAUUCAUAUCUGUUGGAACUGUGUCCAAGUGAUGGAGUCUGAUUUUCAGGACUGAGUAGAAGAGUGACUGGAAGAUCAGGACUAAACAGAGGUAUGACCUCUUGAUCUGUAGUCACUGACUUUUUUGCUGAGGGAGGGAGGUAUUAGUUUGGGAGUAUGGAAUAGCUUUUGACUUUUGGUUGGGACUACUUGGGAAUUGUAAUCUGACAGCUGGAAUUAGGGAGACUUGUAUCCUCAGGGUCAAUGCACAAGGGAAUUGGGAAGUGGGAAUGUCUGUUGCCAGUAGUAUAGUUUCUUAGUGGCCUAAUUAUGGUGGAACCUAGACCCCUUAGGCAUUGAUUGGACUUUCACUGUCUUUUAACCAAUAUCUAGGGCAGUUGAUACUCAGUGGCUAAGUCAAGGUGGAAUUUUACCUGGUUGUCUAAAUCCACUAAAUGUGUUUUUUCAUGAUCCUGGAUAAUAAGAGUUAUACCUUCAUAGGUAUAUGAACUGCUUUUAAGUGGAUUUGUAUAUGAAAUGAGAUUUGGGCAUUGCUGCCUGAUGCAUCCAUAGUCUAAUGGUCAGGCAUGGUGGAAUUAGAGUCUGGUUCAGGUAGAACUGUGUUCUUGGGGUCUAAAUUGAGGAGAAAUAUUGUUUCAGACACCUGAUCUAUAAGGACUAUGGUCGGAUUAUCUGUUCUUGGCCAGUGCUUUGUUUUCUUUGAAAUAUGAUCUUGGCAUUGGAAUUUGAUUUUGCAUCCUUAGAGUUGUGUAGAAGUAUGUCAUGAUUUUGGGGGUCAGUCAAGGUUUGGCAUUCUUAUGUCAAUGCUCAGUAUAGUUGUUGCCUUAUAGUUUUGUGUUGUUGAAAUCCUGGGCUGGUGGCAUUGUUUCCCAGUGGUCUAUUCAAUUUAACUAAGAAAAGCUGGCCUAAUGACAGACUAAAUGAUCAGUGAAGUAGCUGCCCAAUGGAUAGAGUUAGAUGGAUUUGUGUCCUUGUGGUUUAAAGAUAGUGAAGGUGUUGCUUCCUGCUGAUGAACUGUGAAACUUAUUAUUGCCAUGUGAUCUGUUUCAGGGGGCAUCAAUUCCCAUUGUCCUUUUUCUGGUUGUAUUGUAACUAAAGUAUUGGGGCCUGGUACAUCAGUAUCCUCAGUGUCAUGGAUGGAUAGAAUGAAAUCUUGCUUGUCAGAGCCAGGGAGAUUUGUGUCCUGGUGAUUUUUGCCCAGUAGAAAUAUUGCUUCCUGAUCAUGGGUUGUGAGAAUUAGGGUCUUGCGUUCUAUUUCCUGUGGCAUUGUUUCCCAUGAAUCUUUUUUUGUUUGAAAUAUACUCUGGACAUUGGGAUCUGUUGUGUCUUCAGUUUGAUGGUCAGGGCUGGUUGUACAUGAUACUUGGUGGUCAGGAUCAGGUUGUAUCAUAUUGUGAUGUUCUAUGUUCAGUAAAGGAAAUGCAGUCCAGUAAUCCUUGUUUGUUGGAGUCAUGGCCCGAUAGUCUAAUGUUCUUGUCCAAAAUAUAUCUAAAUCUUCUUGUUCUUUUUGAAUUAUGUCAGCUUUAGGGCCUGGGACAUGUUGGAUCUGAUAGUCAUUGUUGAGUGAAGCUGUGUCCUGAUGGUCUAGUCUUGUCCAAAAUAUAUCCCAGUCAUCUUGAUCUUGUUGGAGUGUAAUCUUGGUAUUUGGCUUGGAUAUAUCCCCAACUGGGUAGUCAUUGCUGGAUGGAGGUAUGAUUUUGUGCUCAGGAUCAGAUAGAACCACAUUCUGGGACUCUAUUAUGCUCACUGAAGGUAUUGUCCUGGAGUGUUGAAUUGUGAGAUCAACUCUUAACUCUUGAUCUAGUAUUGAUGGCAUUAUUUCCCAUUGGUCUAGUUUUGGUUGGGGUAUAGCCUCAGCAUUGAGAUCUGGUACAUCCCCAUCCUUCCUUUCAUGGCUAGAUGAUGUUGAGGUUGUAUGGUCAGUAUCAGGUGAAGUUCUGUCUUGCUGUUUUAUAUCCCAUGGGGAGAUUUCCCAGGAAGCCUGGUCUGGUAGAGUUGUGCCCUCCUGAUCCAGUUCUGUUGGCCAAAGUUUUUCCCAUUCAUUUAUAUCUAAUUGGAGUGUUUCCUGAGCACUGAAGUCUGACAGAUCUGAAUCCUGAUAAUCAUGGUUGGAUGAAGGUGUAGCCUCAAGGUGAUUAUCAGGUGAAUUUCUACCUGGGUAUUUUAUGCCCCAUGAGGAUGUUGCCCAGGAAACCUCAUCUUUUAGAAUUCUGGCCUGCUGAUCUAGUUCUGUGGGACAAGAUGUUUUCCAUUUAUCUAAUUCUUCUUGGAGUAUGGACUGAGCACUGAGGUCUGAUAUAGCUGAACUAUCAUCUUCAUGGCUGGAUGGGCUUGUAGGCUCAUGGGGCGUGGCAGGUGAAGUUCUGUCCCAUGACAAUGUUGCCCAGGAAACCUCAUCUUUUAGAGUUUUGGCCUGCUGGUCUAGCUCUGUAGGAGAAGAUGCUUUCCUUUUGCCUAGUUCUUGUUGGAGUGUGGCCUCGCCACUGAGGUAUAUGAAAUCUGAAUCCUGUUCUUCAUAGCUGGAUGGAGGUGUGAUCUCAUGAUGAAGAUCAGGUGAAGUUCUGUCCAGAAAUCAAGAAAAAGGAACAAAUCUUAUAAAAAAUAAGCAUGUCAAGAGUCAAG